Podarcis muralis (Common wall lizard) is the source of this 1831-nucleotide non-coding RNA. The record is from RefSeq and is a predicted model, not a curated record. Lineage: Eukaryota; Metazoa; Chordata; Lepidosauria; Squamata; Lacertidae.
UGUUCCUCCUCCUUCUCCAGGCCUUUGAUCUCCAUAUGUUUUGACAUCAAACACGUGCCAGGUUUCUAGGACAGCGUGAGAGCCUCCGUUGUUUGCAGAUAAAACUUCACCAGAGGCAAACGGGAGAGUGCCAGCAACUCCCUGAGGAGGAAGAGUGGGGCGGAGAUCAGAAAUCUCAGCAAGGGGAUGGGAUAUUCCACUUGUGGAGAAUUGACAAGGGCUGCUACACACAAUUGCCUCCACACGUUGCAUGAAGGAAUGAACCGAUGAAUGGCGGCUUGCAGGUCCUUGAAGCCUAGUCCUGUAUGUUGCCACCACAUCCCUGGGAUUAAUGCACAUGGGAGCCCUCCACACAUGCAUCUGUGCAUGCAGAGACCUCUUGCCAAUGAAUGUUGAAACAGAUGUCUGUCGGGGAGGGUGGUGUUGGUGUGUGGGGAUGGUGGUAGGUGGGGAGACCUCACGUGGCCCCAUAGCCUCCUCCAUGUAUUCAUUCAAUUGGUGAAGGGGGUUAAGUAGGACCCACCCUCCGUGUCAGAGUUUAAUUCCUAUGACAGAAAGAGAAAUAGGCCCCUUCUACACUGUACAUUUAAAGCAGUGUCAUGCCAGUCAUGACUUCUCCCAAAGAAUCCUGGGAACUGUAGUUUGUUAAGGGUACUGAGAGUUGCUAGGAGACCCCUAUUCCCCUCACGGAGAAACCGUUCUCAGAGUGCUUUGACUAUCAGUCCUCCUUCUUGGGGAACUCUGGGAAUUUUAGAAUAUUAUUUUGGAAUAUUAUUGUUUGGUUUAAGAAACCAUUGAUAACUUCCCAAGGAACCCCAUUACUUCCCCUUUUAGACCAGAAACAGGACCCUCUAAUUCUUCUCGGCCAUCCCCUAGCCCUCCUGCCAGAUUCCACUUUUGGGUCCGGAGCGCCUGGUCUUCUCUCUCAUCCCCUAGCCACACAGCCCUUAAACUCAGGGAAUGUACAGCACCUCAGCCUUAGAGUUGCCAAUUGACCAGAAAAAGACAAAAUGGCGGAUGCUGUUCCAUUGCCAGGUUUAAAGUAACAUUCAACUGCUGUCCUUCACCUCAGGCGGCAAAGUGUCUUGGACCAGCUCCAGCCAAAGGCUGCAUGGCUUUUGUCUCUCGGUUUCCAACAAAACCGCUGGGACCCCACCUCUUGGCUCUACAAUUUGACUUGCUUGGUUUCCCUGUAGGAAGCAACAUGUCACACCCCCCCAAUAAUAAUAAUAAUAAUAAUAAUUCAAGAGUUUAAUAAUUCAAGCUGAAAUGCUUAGGGGUUAAGCAAUGCCCUUUUUCCUCAAGGCACACCAGAGGCUGGGCAGCAUAUACAGAGAAUGAAAAUUAACCCAGUUGUAUAUACUGAAUUCAGGGCCUUCUCCAUAUUUUGUCUUUUGCUGAGUCCGUCUUUACAGGCUGAAAGCUGACAUUUCGACCACACACAUCAUUAAUGCCUGGAACUAGCACUAGGCUGGAUGAGGGCCAACAAACUAAGGCUCAACUCAGAUAAGAUGUAGAGACUGUUGGCUGAGUAGGUUGUCUGUCUUGGGAAGUGAUGUUCAUUUUGCAUUUUCUUAGAUCAGGGGUAGGGAAGUUACCCUUCAGCUGGUGUUGGUCUCUCAGCUCCCAUCAUCACUUACCACUGGCCAUGCUGGCUGGUGCUGAUGGGAGUUGGUGGGCCAUACCUUCCCCCUGCAACAGGAGCAGGGAGACCCAGGUUCAAAUCCUGUUUCAUCCAUGAAGCUCAUUGAGUGACACUGGGCCAGUCAGUAUCUUUGAGCCUACCUUCAAGGGUUGUUGUGAGGAUUAAAGUAUGUAGGCUUAUCUUGUG